CGGGAUGUAGCGCAGCCUGGUAGCGUGCUUCGUUCGGGACGAAGAGGCCGGCGGUUCGAAUCCGCCCAUCCCGA
Molecule: transfer RNA, 74 nt
Filed under: Myxococcales bacterium
Lineage: Bacteria; Pseudomonadati; Myxococcota; Myxococcia; Myxococcales
Also listed under: 1 other name
Description: tRNA-Pro
Rfam family: tRNA
About the family: Transfer RNA (tRNA) molecules are approximately 80 nucleotides in length. Their secondary structure includes four short double-helical elements and three loops (D, anti-codon, and T loops).
Source: RNAcentral